Molecule: ribosomal RNA, 623 nt
Filed under: Pelobates cultripes (western spadefoot toad)
Lineage: Eukaryota; Metazoa; Chordata; Amphibia; Anura; Pelobatidae
Rfam family: Eukaryotic small subunit ribosomal RNA
Source: RNAcentral
UCUAGUUUAUGUUAAGUGACCCAUAGGUUGAGGAGGUGGUGAGCGUGGCGGUGAAGGAGGAUGAGGUAGCCAACACUGUUUUUUAUAUAUAUAUAUAUAAUUUAAUUGGGGUAGCCCCCAAAAUAUUGGGACAUUUAAAAAAAGACAACACACACACAGAGUAGCUGUUGACAUUAUAGUUGCACAGGCACUUUGUUGACUCUAGAGAACUUUGAGCCAAUCACACAUCCCUGUGGCGUCGACUUUGCAUGCGGAUGUCAUCCAUAUCAACUUUCGAUGCCAGUUUCUGCGUCUACAAUGGUGACCACGGGUAAUGGGGUAUCAGGGUUCCAUUCCGUACAGAGACCCUGAGAAACGGCUACCACAUGCAAGGAAGGCAGCAGGCGCGCAAAUGACCCACUCCCGACGUGGGAAGGUAGUGACGACAAAUAACAAUACAGGACUCUUUAGAGGCCCUGUUAUUGUAAUGAGUCCACUUGAAAUCCUUUAACUCUGAUCAUUUGGAGGGAAGUCUGGUGCAGAGCCACUGACCUGUGCGUGCUGCAGCUGAAACUCCACUAUCACCUGCUGCUCGCACAGACUCAUGAGGCGGUGAGCGGGAAGGCAGAAGUUAAGCUCCAGCA